GUUGUCAGUGAAGAUAAUCUAGCUACUACUGUUGCUUUAAAAUAGAGAUUGACAGCACAAAUAACAUUUGUUGCGAUAUAUUGUGCAUCACAUGGUCUCAUUUCCUGCACUGAUACAGGGGCCUUGAAGUUCGGUUUUUGCGUGGGUGGCUACUAGUGUAUUUAAUGCACUGCAUGAGCAAAUUUUACGAAUGAAAUCGGUUCAAUUAGGAAGAGCCAUGGAUCUUAUGUAUUGAUACAGGCAGGGCUGUUGCUGCAUAGCACAUUGAUGAAGAUACGCGAUCGCGUCGUCUGUUUCAAUGGAAUGGUCUCCCAAGCAGAACCGUAAGACACCAAAAUCAGCAAGGGAUCAUACCACGCAGUCCUUGUCAAGUCCCCUGUUCUGUGACAAUGCUCUGAGUCACCUUCCUGUUGCAACAUGUACAUCACAGACCACAGCCCCACUACUGGGGUGGUGACAAUCAUAGUGAUCCUCAUUGCUGUUGCUGCCCUCGGUGUUCUCAUCUGCGGAUGUUGGUGCUACCUGCUCCUGCAGCGGAUUGGCCAGUCUGAAGAUGAGGAGAGUAUUGUAGGAGAGGGCGAGACCAAGGAGCCCUUCCUGAUGGUACCGUACUCCACCAGGGGCCCACACAUCGAGCACAAAAACAAGCUCACCCACAACGGCACUGAGAAUCACACUUAACUGAGUCAUUAAGAAACCGUGGUCAUCACCUAAUAUUAACCAAGAGGAUCUCCUCAUUCACAUUUCAUCAUCUUUCAUCAAGCCAUUGAAGAAUGAUAAACGGACUGCAGCUCAAUGUCAAUGUCUUAGGAAAUGUGAUAUUUUUGUUUCUCAUUCCACUGUAUGGAUCUCAGUCAGGAUGUGAGGUUGUGAACAGUUCAUUGUUAUGUUUCUUAAGUGUACAUAUUUUGAACACAAAAAUGUACAUCUAAUUGAUAUUGAUAGUUUUUGUUAACUCAGCAAUCCACUACUGAAUUUUGACGAUAGACACAAGACAGCGCUCUGAUGAAAUGAGUGGGCCAAACCUUCUUCAGAGCUUGUUGGAAGAAUGUAUGGCAAAUUGAUGACAAAACAAUUGACUUAAUAUCAAGUUGCUCAAAUUAUUUGAAAUUAGCUUAAUUUGUUUGUUUAUUUUGCAUAGUUGAACUUGGUUUUGUUUUCUCCUGUGGUUGCACAGGUAACCACUCAACUAAAACCAGUCAUUGAAAGGGCAAUUCUCCUUUGAUAAACCAUCAUAUUUCACAAGCACAACAGGGUCUGAGUUUUAGUGAGGUCCGCACUCUAAAAUACUAUUUGGAGAACAGCAAAAAGUUGGCCAUGAUUGCUACACCUUUAGAUAGCUGGCUAGACUAAUUUAACAAUCUAAAAAAAUGUAAUUGAUAUGGGCUACUUGAGUGACAGUCAGUGAGGGACAUAUAAGAAGAGGGAAACUGCUGAUGCACAACCAAGUUCGAAAUUGCACCUUGUGUAUUCUACUAUUCCAACUCUCAACAGUAAGUUGAGACCCCUACUGUUCCUAAAAAAAAUGAUAGAUUAUUAUAUAUUUUUAUAAUGUUGGCAAGGUCCGUACCUCGGUGUCCUCAUAUGUAGCUACAACACAGUAGCUGCUGCAACUGACAUGGGUUGAGAAGUCCUACCAAGAAGCUACCAAGAGCCAAUUACAUAUUUUCUAUAUUCAGUUGCAACAUAGGAAAUCCUGAUGGAAAGAUUCUAUGGUAGCUGAGCAGGUUGAUAUUUGAUGAAACAAUGUUAUAAAGUAUUAUAAAAAUGUAAAUAACAUGAAGA
RNA transcript from Oncorhynchus kisutch (coho salmon), 1785 nucleotides. It is a transcript of the gene named stannin-like, with no coding region annotated. Lineage: Eukaryota; Metazoa; Chordata; Actinopteri; Salmoniformes; Salmonidae. The transcript is spliced from 2 exons. The record is from RefSeq and is a predicted model, not a curated record.